Molecule: long non-coding RNA, 502 nt
Filed under: Homo sapiens (human)
Lineage: Eukaryota; Metazoa; Chordata; Mammalia; Primates; Hominidae
Description: HSALNT0312999
Source: RNAcentral
CUGUUGUUGGCAACCAACAGAGUUGUUGUCUUUUCUCGCAUUCAUUAAAAUGCACAAGAAGAAAUUUCUAAUGGUGAGGGAGUACUUGCUUCAAAUUCAUACUUCAGUGAAAUAAACAACACCAUACAUAGGAAUGUGAAAGCAAAGUCAUCAUACACUGUUUGCUUCAUUGUAUGAGAAUCAAUGUUUGCAUGAUAAACUGCCCUAAUGGAAGAGGACUCUGAGUUACCUUUUUCGAGCAAAGCCACCUAGGUUACUCUGUUUUCCCCAGAGUGACCCUUCUGUUCUGCAAAUUUUCAGAUUGAAGGGAGUAGCAGUAGAGUAUCAGAAGUAUCAGAAGCAAAAAAGUAAAUGUAUGAUUUGCAAAGCAUAACAAAAUGAAAAAUAAGCUUCUGCAGUCAUGGAAGUUCAGAAUUGGAUAACAACUUAGAUUAUUUAUUCCAACCUCAUCGAAAAAGAGAUAAAGACAUGGAAUUCAGGAAAAGUGUUUCUUCCUGUUUGA